Molecule: transfer RNA, 83 nt
Filed under: Nitrospinota bacterium
Lineage: Bacteria; Pseudomonadati; Nitrospinota
Description: tRNA-Leu
Rfam family: tRNA
About the family: Transfer RNA (tRNA) molecules are approximately 80 nucleotides in length. Their secondary structure includes four short double-helical elements and three loops (D, anti-codon, and T loops).
Source: RNAcentral
GCGAAAGUGGCGGAACUGGCAGACGCGCUGGACUUAGGAUCCAGUGGGCAACCGUGGGGGUUCGAGUCCCCCCUUUCGCACCA